UACGUAGGGUGCGAGCGUUGUCCGGAAUUAUUGGGCGUAAAGAGCUCGUAGGCGGUUUGUUGCGUCUAUCGUGAAAACCUGCAGCUUAACUGUGGGCUUGCGGUGGAUACGGGCAGACUUGAGUUCGGUAGGGGAGACUGGAAUUCCUGGUGUAGCGGUGAAAUGCGCAGAUAUCAGGAGGAACACCGGUGGCGAAGGCGGGUCUCUGGGCCGAUACUGACGCUGGGGAGCGAAAGCGUGGGGAGCGAACAGG
RNAcentral lists this ribosomal RNA (253 nucleotides) under uncultured bacterium. Its description in RNAcentral is "partial 16S ribosomal RNA". It matches the Rfam family "Bacterial small subunit ribosomal RNA", at positions 524 to 776 of the family's 1533-position model. The record is from RNAcentral.